GACGAACGCUGGCGGCGUGCCUAAUACAUGCAAGUUGAGCGAUGAAGAUUGGUGCUUGCACCAAUAUGAAGAGCAGCGAACGGGUGAGUAACGCGUGGGGAAUCUGCCUUUGAGCGGGGGACAACAUUUGGAAACGAAUGCUAAUACCGCAUAACAACUUUAAACAUAAGUUUUAAGUUUGAAAGAUGCAAUUGCAUCACUCAAAGAUGAUCCCGCGUUGUAUUAGCUAGUUGGUGAGGUAAAGGCUCACCAAGGCGAUGAUACAUAGCCGACCUGAGAGGGUGAUCGGCCACAUUGGGACUGAGACACGGCCCAAACUCCUACGGGAGGCAGCAGUAGGGAAUCUUCGGCAAUGGACGAAAGUCUGACCGAGCAACGCCGCGUGAGUGAAGAAGGUUUUCGGAUCGUAAAACUCUGUUGGUAGAGAAGAACGUUGGUGAGAGUGGAAAGCUCAUCAAGUGACGGUAACUACCCAGAAAGGGACGGCUAACUACGUG
This 497-nucleotide ribosomal RNA is filed under the name uncultured bacterium. RNAcentral's name for it is "partial 16S ribosomal RNA". It matches the Rfam family "Bacterial small subunit ribosomal RNA", at positions 28 to 507 of the family's 1533-position model. The record is from RNAcentral.